Molecule: ribosomal RNA, 607 nt
Filed under: Staphylococcus aureus
Lineage: Bacteria; Bacillati; Bacillota; Bacilli; Caryophanales; Staphylococcaceae
Description: partial 23S ribosomal RNA
Rfam family: Bacterial large subunit ribosomal RNA
Source: RNAcentral
GAGAAUGCCGGUGUGAGUAGCGAAAGACGGGUGAGAAUCCCGUCCACCGAUUGACUAAGGUUUCCAGAGGAAGGCUCGUCCGCUCUGGGUUAGUCGGGUCCUAAGCUGAGGCCGACAGGCGUAGGCGAUGGAUAACAGGUUGAUAUUCCUGUACCACCUAUAAUCGUUUUAAUCGAUGGGGGGACGCAGUAGGAUAGGCGAAGCGUGCGAUUGGAUUGCACGUCUAAGCAGUAAGGCUGAGUAUUAGGCAAAUCCGGUACUCGUUAAGGCUGAGCUGUGAUGGGGAGAAGACAUUGUGUCUUCGAGUCGUUGAUUUCACACUGCCGAGAAAAGCCUCUAGAUAGAAAAUAGGUGCCCGUACCGCAAACCGACACAGGUAGUCAAGAUGAGAAUUCUAAGGUGAGCGAGCGAACUCUCGUUAAGGAACUCGGCAAAAUGACCCCGUAACUUCGGGAGAAGGGGUGCUCUUUAGGGUUAACGCCCAGAAGAGCCGCAGUGAAUAGGCCCAAGCGACUGUUUAUCAAAAACACAGGUCUCUGCUAAACCGUAAGGUGAUGUAUAGGGGCUGACGCCUGCCCGGUGCUGGAAGGUUAAGAGGAGUGGUUAG